AAUGUUUUUUCUUUUUCCAGAUGUUUUUGGUAUCAAUGAGCUUACCAUGUAUGAGGGAGAAUGGAAUGAAGAAGUCUACUGUGUUUCAGGAGAUAUUUUGGACGGUAUGAUGUAUGACCUUCUGAUGAAUAUGUUGGAGGAGAGAGGAGUCACAAAUGAAUUCGCAGACAAGCUGAGCAAUGUCUGCUCCGACUAUGAGCAUUAUAUGUAUGUUAACUUGCUUCAAAAAGUACAGGACUUUGUCAAGAGGAAAUAAAUGGGAAACAAGACAAUCACAAUUUCAUCAAACCCCAAGUUUCAAGUUAGAGGGAUGGUCUGCCUUGAAAACUUAACCAUUCAUGUUCAUUCUAAAUAUGUAUGUAUUGGAUAUGGUUCCUGUAUUUAGUUUGACAAUUGAAGCUUCUUUUUUUUGUGAUAUAAAGUCAAAUUUUGAUCAUUCAUACCACAAGAACAUUACAAACUUUAUAUGUUCAUAGUUUGUUUUAUGUUAUACAAGUUAUGUUUAUAUUGACUGAGGAAUGGUAUUGUCUUUGCAGAAGGCAAGACAGUGUAAUUAAUAUGUACAGAAGAAACCUAGUUUAUAUGUUCAUGUGUAUUUCUUAAUAAAUACCAAAAAAUAA
This 620-nucleotide long non-coding RNA is filed under the name Penaeus japonicus. RNAcentral describes it as "uncharacterized LOC122265486". Lineage: Eukaryota; Metazoa; Arthropoda; Malacostraca; Decapoda; Penaeidae. The record is from RNAcentral.